This 76-nucleotide transfer RNA is filed under the name Haemophilus influenzae. RNAcentral's name for it is "tRNA-Ala(tgc)". It matches the Rfam family "tRNA". From Rfam's summary of the family: Transfer RNA (tRNA) molecules are approximately 80 nucleotides in length. Their secondary structure includes four short double-helical elements and three loops (D, anti-codon, and T loops). Lineage: Bacteria; Pseudomonadati; Pseudomonadota; Gammaproteobacteria; Pasteurellales; Pasteurellaceae. The record is from RNAcentral. RNAcentral also lists the same sequence under 3 other names.
GGGGAUAUAGCUCAGCUGGGAGAGUGCCUGCCUUGCACGCAGGAGGUCAGCGGUUCGAUCCCGCUUAUCUCCACCA